AAACCUGUUGAUCCAUCCCAGUUGGUGAAGCUCCUUUUCUAUAAGCUCUGCUUCAGAUAGUUUCACAGAGAUGCCUAAAUGCUUCAGGUGUUCUGCGGCCUCCCAUGCCGAGUGGAAUGUCUUCUCUCAAUCUUCCAAGGUGACUCUUAGUGCGAUGCGAUUCCCCUCAAACUUUACAUCUUUGGUACUCCAGGCGAUAUGUUGUUUUGUUUGAAAAUCGAUAAAUUUAACCACGAUAGAUCUGGAGAAGUUCGGAUUUCCUUUUUUUAAUGCCGUUGAUCUGUGUGCACGCUCAAUGCCGAGGAUUUCAUCAUCGGGAAGUUUUAAUAGUUUUGUGGUGAAUUCGAGCAUGUUCUCCUUGCCCUCUGCUCCUUCCUUCACUCCAUAAAUCUGUAAAUUGUACCUUCUUGUCUUCACAGUGUGCUUCCAAUGCAGCGUUGAUUGUGCAUCAUGUAGAUUAACAGUCGGUCAGCCCGUGUUCCCUGAUCUUCCACAUCGCUCACUCUUUGCUCCGCUACAUUCAGUCUUUUUUCCCAUUUCUGUAUUUGCACACUCAUGUCUUUCAGGGAUUCUUCAAUUUUAUCCAACCUUUCUGUCACGUCCUUUCUCAUUCCUUUCAUCUCUGCUAAUCCCUCGCCAAUCAAAUUACCUGCAGCACCUGUUGAGUCGUUAGCUGUGGUGGCGCAGGCCUCUAGAUUUGUUAUAGGUUUGCUCGCACCUUCGUUUCUGUGGAUGUUCUACAGAAGCCACUUAGAGAAACUUAUUAAAUCUGGGUUAACAGUCUGUGAGGUUGGCAGCUCUGUUCUCACGCUGCCAUCUUGCAGGGGACCGGAAGUGACAGUUGUACUUUAAUUAUAAGAUUAAGUUGAACUGUAGUAAUGUCCCUAUAUAUUCCCCAACUUAUUAAUCACAUAUGUAUUUUAUUUUCUGUUCUUAAUCUUUCUUUUUUGUUGUUUGUGUUGAUAUUUGUUUUUAUCUCUUUCCUUUGGUUACGUUAUGACUUAACUUAUUUGAUAAAUAAUGUUGUGUACUCUGUAUGUAUGCUGAAAGGUAAAAUAAAUAAAACAUUGUUGGGAAAAAAAACCCCUGACCUUUCAGGACAGUUUCCCUUUUUUCUCAGUCCUUUAAAAUCAGGAAACAUGUUUGUUUCUUCUUCUAUGAACUACUCAUAUUCACUCCCAUCUUGAGUUGUGUCAUGUUUCUGAUGUAUUCUCUCUCCUGUUAGGCUUUCUCAUGAAGAUGUGCAGACAUGAUGACAAGAAGAACAAUGGAGACGUUACAUCUCAUCACUUGGAGGUCCGUGUGAUGAUGCAGCCCAGAUCUGAUGACGAGGAGCUCAAUGAAGACGUUACAUCUGAUCUCUUGGAGGAGACAGACCAUAUGAAGGACACCCCGGAAAGGAAUCUGACUGAUGAAGGGUUUAAAUAAAACCUUUUUUAAAAGGGUUGAUGAACACAGGGAUUGACCUCAUGAAUGUUCAUCUUUGUUCCCACACACCUUGAAUACGUGCCUUUCUGUGUUAUUGCUCUGAUUUUAUUUAAUGUCUGCACCUUCCUGUUUUAUGUCCCUUUUUUUAAAGAUAAAUGAAACAAUACGUACAUGUAGCAUCUGAAGACAGCUUCAUGCCUAACAAAAGCUACGUAUCAAUCUGCUGUUGGAAAAACACUUUUUUAGGGUUUUCACACCUGCAGAAACUCCUGAUGUUUCCAGGCUGAGCGUCAUGUGUGAACAGAAACAGCUGAAUGAAGAGUGUCCCGCUGUGAGGUACAUGUGUGAACAACCAGAAUGGAAGAACAUCCGGAGCAGUCCUCCUGAGAUGAUCUAGAUAUUUUCAGGAGUGCAGAUGUGAAAACAGCUGAUUUCUUUCCCGGUGUUACGACCUCCUUUACCAAAAUAAUAAAUCAAUGGCUCAAAACAUGGAGACUGAAAACAUAGAAGGACGCCACACAGAUUUAAAAAUUCAACCAAAGUAUUACAAGGUGCUGAGCCAACCGCGUACUGGGUCGUCGCUCUUGGCUCCUCCCCCUAAAAUGACCCAACAAAAUGCCCGGGUCUCUCCUACCUGCCUCUAAAUACAACUCCUCUUUCCUGAACAUAGAUUGUACUCAGGUGUGCAGCAGGUAGAGGGAGACAGACAGAAACAUUAAAACAUUCAGUUUGAUUCGUUCAGAGUUCCUGAAAAUGUUCAAUGAGCUCAACAUGGACUUACUAUCCACAGACUGAGACUCCACUGAUCUGUUAUAUUUUUAAAUGUCAGGAGGACUCAUAAGAAGUUGAUCAUGUAUCUGGAGCUGGAGGCAUGUUUCUCAUUUUGUUUUUUUGUAUGAACCUCUAUUUAGUCAAGUUAUGAGGCUUGUACAGAUUUUUGCUUGAUUAUUCAAAUUGCAAAUGUAAUGUGAGAAAAAUGUGAA
Non-coding RNA from Labrus bergylta (ballan wrasse), 2411 nucleotides. Lineage: Eukaryota; Metazoa; Chordata; Actinopteri; Labriformes; Labridae. The record is from RefSeq and is a predicted model, not a curated record.